Molecule: ribosomal RNA, 501 nt
Filed under: uncultured Lachnospiraceae bacterium
Lineage: Bacteria; Bacillati; Bacillota; Clostridia; Lachnospirales; Lachnospiraceae
Description: bacterial SSU rRNA
Rfam family: Bacterial small subunit ribosomal RNA
Source: RNAcentral
AGAGUUUGUAUCUGCUCAGGAUGAACGCUGGCGGCGUGCUUAACACAUGCAAGUCGAGCGAAGCACUUCGUUUUGUAAUCUUCGGAGGAAGGAACGGAAUGACUGAGCGGCGGACGGGUGAGUAACGCGUGGGCAACCUACCUCAUACAGGGGGAUAACAGUUAGAAAUGACUGCCAAUACCGCAUAAGACCGCGGUACCGCAUGGUACAGCGGUAAAAACUCCGGUGGUAUGAGAUGGGCCCGCGUCUGAUUAGCUAGUUGGUGAGGUAACGGCCCACCAAGGCGACGAUCAGUAGCCGACCUGAGAGGGUGACCGGCCACAUUGGGACUGAGACACGGCCCAAACUCCUACGGGAGGCAGCAGUGGGGAAUAUUGCACAAUGGGGGAAACCCUGAUGCAGCGACGCCGCGUGAGCGAUUGAAGUAUUUCGGUAUGUAAAGCUCUAUCAGCAGGGAAGAAGAUGACGGUACCUGACUAAGAAGCCCCGGCUAACUACGUG